GACGAACGCUGGCGGCGUGCUUAACACAUGCAAGUCGAACGGAAAGGCCCUGCUUUUGUGGGGUGCUCGAGUGGCGAACGGGUGAGUAACACGUGAGUAACCUGCCCUUGACUUUGGGAUAACUUCAGGAAACUGGGGCUAAUACCGGAUAGGAGCUCCUGCUGCAUGGUGGGGGUUGGACAGUUUCGGCGGUUGGGGAUGGACUCGCGGCUUAUCAGCUUGUUGGUGGGGUAGUGGCUUACCAAGGCUUUGACGGGUAGCCGGCCUGAGAGGGGGACCGGCCACAGUGGGACUGAGAUACGGCACAGACUCCUACGGGAGGCAGCAGUGGGGAAUAGUGCACAAGGGGCGGAAGCCUGAUGCAGCAACGCCGCGUGCGGGAUGACGGCCUUCGGGUUGUAAACCGAUUUCGCCUGUGACGAAGCGUGAGUGACGGUAAUGGGUAAAGAAGCACCGGCUAACUACGUG
RNAcentral lists this ribosomal RNA (468 nucleotides) under uncultured bacterium. RNAcentral's name for it is "partial 16S ribosomal RNA". It matches the Rfam family "Bacterial small subunit ribosomal RNA", at positions 28 to 507 of the family's 1533-position model. The record is from RNAcentral.